Molecule: transfer RNA, 98 nt
Filed under: Eutypa lata
Lineage: Eukaryota; Fungi; Ascomycota; Sordariomycetes; Xylariales; Diatrypaceae
Also listed under: 1 other name
Description: tRNA-Ile
Rfam family: tRNA
About the family: Transfer RNA (tRNA) molecules are approximately 80 nucleotides in length. Their secondary structure includes four short double-helical elements and three loops (D, anti-codon, and T loops).
Source: RNAcentral
GGUCGCGUAACUCAGUUGGUUAGAGUGUCGUACUAAUACAUUCCUUCAAAAUGUGUCAAGUUAUGCGAAAGCCGAGAGUUCAAGCCUCUCCGUGACCA